GAACAUUGAGGACAGAGUUCAAGAGGAAGCUGGCUGUCUUGUGGAGGAGUUGAGGAAAACCAACAGCUCACCUGUGAUCCCACUUUUAUCUUGGGCUGUGCUCCCUGCAAUGUGAUCUGCUCCUUUAUUUUCAAAAAUUGUUUUGACUAUAAAGACCAGAAUUUUCUUAACUUGAUGGAAAAAUUCAAUGAAAACCUCAGACUUAUGAGUACCCCAUGGAUCCAGGUCUGCAAUACUUUUCCCAUUAUCAUUGAUUAUCUGCCAGGAGUCACAACAAAAUUCUUAAAAACUUUGCUGAUGUGAAAAGUUAUGUUUUGGAAAAAGUAAAAGAACAUCAAGAAUCCCUGGAUAGCAAUAAUCCCCGGGACUUCGUUGAUUGUUUCCUGAUUAAAAUGUAACAGG
This is a long non-coding RNA of Perognathus longimembris pacificus (Pacific pocket mouse), 402 nucleotides long. RefSeq lists it as uncharacterized. The transcript is spliced from 3 exons. NCBI's taxonomy places the organism in Eukaryota, Metazoa, Chordata, Mammalia, Rodentia, Heteromyidae. The record is from RefSeq and is a predicted model, not a curated record.